This 447-nucleotide ribosomal RNA is filed under the name uncultured bacterium. RNAcentral describes it as "bacterial SSU rRNA". It matches the Rfam family "Bacterial small subunit ribosomal RNA", at positions 29 to 507 of the family's 1533-position model. The record is from RNAcentral.
AAUGAACGUUGGCGGCGUGGAUUAGGCAUGCAAGUCGAGCGCUCAUCAGCAAUGGUGGGAGCGGCGAACGGCGUAGUAAUGCAUCGGAACGUACCCUCUGGACGGGGAUAGCCACGGGAAACUGUGGGUAAUACCCGAUAAUCUCUGCGGAGCAAAGGUGUGAUUCCGCCGGAGGAGCGGCUGAUGUGAUAUUAGCUAGUUGGUGGGGUAAAGGCCUACCAAGGCGAUGAUGUCUAGGGGGUGUGAGAGCAUGGCCCCCACGACCGGAACUGAGAUACUGUCCGGACACCUACGGGUGGCUGCAGUCGAGAAUCUUCCGCAAUGGACGAAAGUCUGACGGAGCGACGCCGCGUGCGGGAUGAAGGCCCUUGGGUUGUAAACCGCUGUCAGGGGGGAUGAAAGCGCAAGCUUGACAGAGCCCCAGAGGAAGCACGGGCUAAGUUCGUG